Molecule: long non-coding RNA, 259 nt
Filed under: Homo sapiens (human)
Lineage: Eukaryota; Metazoa; Chordata; Mammalia; Primates; Hominidae
Description: HSALNT0262142
Source: RNAcentral
GAUGACUGCGGGCAGGCCUGGAUAAUAUCCAGCCUUCCACAAGAAGCUGGUGGAGCAGAGUGUUCCCUGACUCCUCCAAGGAAAGGAGACUCCCUUUCACCGUCUGCUAAGUAACGGGUGCCUUCCCAGACACUGGCGUUACCGCUUGACCAAGGACCCCUCAAGCGGCCCUGAUGCACGCGUGACAGAGGGCUCACCUCUUGCCUUCUAGGUCACUUCUCACCAUGUCCCUUCAGCACCUGACCCUAUACCCGCCGGU